CAGUAGCCACGGGAAUACGAAGGGGGCUAGCGUUGUUCGGAAUUAUUGGGCGUAAAGAGCUCGUAGGCGGUUUGUCGCGUCUGCUGUGAAAACUGGAGGCUCAACCUCCAGCCUGCAGUGGGUACGGGCAGACUAGAGUGCGGUAGGGGAGAUUGGAAUUCCUGGUGUAGCGGUGGAAUGCGCAGACAUCAGGAGGAACACCGAUGGCGAAGGCAGAUCUCUGGGCCGUAACUGACGCUGAGGAGCGAAAGCAUGGGGAGCGAACAGGAUUAGAUACCCGCGUAGUCCCUGUCUCUUAUAC
RNAcentral lists this ribosomal RNA (301 nucleotides) under uncultured bacterium. RNAcentral's name for it is "partial 16S ribosomal RNA". It matches the Rfam family "Bacterial small subunit ribosomal RNA", at positions 509 to 807 of the family's 1533-position model. The record is from RNAcentral.